UGGUGAGGUAACGGCUCACCAAGGCGACGAUGGGUAGCCGGCCUGAGAGGGUGUACGGCCACACUGGGACUGAGACACGGCCCAGACUCCUACGGGAGGCAGCAGUAGGGAAUAUUGCGCAAUGGACGGAAGUCUGACGCAGCGACGCCGCGUGAGCGAUGAAGGCCUUCGGGUCGUAAAGCUCUGUCCUUGGGGAAGAAGGUCUUCGGACUUGACGGUACCCAAGAAGAAAGCCCCGGCUAACUACGUGCCAGCAGCCGCGGUAAUACGUAGGGGGCGAGCGUUGUCCGGAAUUACUGGGCGUAAAGGGUGCGUAGGCGGCCCUUUAAGUCAGAUGUGAAAGGCCACGGCUUAACCGUGGGAUUGCAUUUGAAACUGGAGGGCUUGAGUGUCGGAGAGGGUAGUGGAAUUCCCAGUGUAGCGGUGAAAUGCGUAGAUAUUGGGAGGAACACCAGUGGCGAAGGCGACUACCUGGACGAUAACUGACGCUGAGGCACGAAAGCUAGGGGAGCAAACAGGAUUAGAUACCCUGGUAGUCCUAGCCGUAAACGAUGGGUACUAGGUGUAGGUGGUUUCGAUACCAUCUGUGCCGGAGUUAA
RNAcentral lists this ribosomal RNA (599 nucleotides) under uncultured bacterium. Its description in RNAcentral is "bacterial SSU rRNA". It matches the Rfam family "Bacterial small subunit ribosomal RNA", at positions 250 to 855 of the family's 1533-position model. The record is from RNAcentral.